RNAcentral lists this ribosomal RNA (499 nucleotides) under uncultured bacterium. RNAcentral describes it as "bacterial SSU rRNA". It matches the Rfam family "Bacterial small subunit ribosomal RNA", at positions 28 to 508 of the family's 1533-position model. The record is from RNAcentral.
GAUGAACGCUAGCGGCAGGCUUAAUACAUGCAAGUUGAGGGGCAGCAUGAUAUACGCGAGUAUAUUGAUGGCGACCGGCGGACGGGUGAGUAAUAGGUAGGAGACCUACCUCAUACAGGGGGAUAGCAUAGAGAAAUCUGUGGUAAUACCCCAUGAGGUUAUAUGAAUAGAGGCAUAUAAUCAAAGCAUAAGCGAUUAUGCGGUAUGAGAGGGGCCUACUGACCAUUAGCUAGUUGGUGAGGUAAGGGCUCACCAAGGCGAAGAUGGUUAGGGGUUUUGAGAGAGAGACCCCCCACAUUGGAACUGAGAGACGGUCCAGACUCCUACGGGAGGCAGCAGUAGGGAAUAUUGGGCAAUGGGCGAAAGCCUGACCCAGCCAUGCCGCGUGAAGGAAGACGGCCUUAUGGGGUUGUAAACUUCUUUACUUACGCGAAUAAGAGGUAGUUACGAGAUACUAAUAGGAAGGUAGUGUAGUAAAAGAAACCGCGUACUACCGUGC